This 304-nucleotide unclassified non-coding RNA is filed under the name Clavatospora longibrachiata. Its description in RNAcentral is "partial internal transcribed spacer region". The stretch from base 1 to 46 matches the Rfam family "Eukaryotic small subunit ribosomal RNA", at positions 1786 to 1831 of the family's 1831-position model. Lineage: Eukaryota; Fungi; Ascomycota; Sordariomycetes; Microascales; Halosphaeriaceae. The record is from RNAcentral.
AAGUCGUAACAAGGUUUCCGUAGGUGAACCUGCGGAAGGAUCAUUACCGAGAUUUUUUCAUAGACUUGUUUUAUGAAAUCUCCCACCCUUUGUGUUACCAAAUAUUAUUACUUUGGUGAAGCGCGUCUUUCUUUUUGUCUCUCUUGGGAGGGAAAAAGAAGACCCAUCGGCUCUUUGUUGAGUGGGUGUGUUCUUCACCAAAGGAACCAUUAACUCUUAUUUAUUAUCAAUUGUCUGAGUUUAUAUUUUAAAUAAACAAAACUUUCAACAACGGAUCUCUUGGUUCUGGCAUCGAUGAAGAACC